UUAGGAAUAUUCGUCAAUGGGGGAAACCCUGAACGAGCAAUGCCGCGUGAACGAUGAAGGCCCUAUGGGUUGUAAAGUUCUGUUGUUUGGAAAGAAUAGCAAGAAUAGGAAAUGAUUCUUGUCUGACGGUACCAUUCAAGAAAGCCACGGCUAACUACGUGCCAGCAGCCGCGGUAAUACGUAGGUGGCGAGCGUUAUCCGGAUUUAUUGGGCGUAAAGCGUGCGCAGGCGGUUUGUUAAGUAUAGAAUUAAAGCCCGAAGCUUAACUUCGGUUCGUUCUAUAAACUGGCAGACUCGAGUGUGGUAGAGGCAAACGGAAUUUCUAGUGUAGCGGUAAAAUGCGUAGAUAUUAGAAGGAACACCAGUGGCGAAGGCGGUUUGCUGGGCCAUUACUGACGCUCAUGCACGAAAGCGUGGGGAGCAAAUAGG
Molecule: ribosomal RNA, 429 nt
Filed under: uncultured bacterium
Lineage: Bacteria
Description: bacterial SSU rRNA
Rfam family: Bacterial small subunit ribosomal RNA
Source: RNAcentral